RNAcentral lists this ribosomal RNA (387 nucleotides) under uncultured bacterium. RNAcentral's name for it is "bacterial SSU rRNA". It matches the Rfam family "Bacterial small subunit ribosomal RNA", at positions 28 to 417 of the family's 1533-position model. The record is from RNAcentral.
GACGAACGCUGGCGGCGUGCUUAACACAUGCAAGUCGAGCGGUAAGGCCCUUUCGGGGGUACACGAGCGGCGAACGGGUGAGUAACACGUGGGUGACCUGCCCUCAGCUCUGGGAUAAGCCUGGGAAACCGGGUUUAAUACCGGAUAUGACUCCAUGACGCAUGUUGUGGGGUGGAAAGCCUUGUGCGGCUGAGGAUGGGCCCGCGGCCUAUCAGCUUGUUGGUGGGGUGAUGGCCACCAAGGCGACGACGGGUAGCCGGCCUGAGAGGGCGACCGGCCACACUGGGACUGAGACACGGCCCAGACUCCUACGGGAGGCAGCAGGUGGGGAAUCUUGCGCAAUGGGCGAAAGCCUGACGCAGCGACGCCGCGUGAGGAUGACGGCCU